GCGGGUGUAGUACAAUGGUUCGUAUACGUCCUUGCCAAGGAUGAGAUGGCGGUUCGAUUCCGCUCACCCGCU
RNAcentral lists this transfer RNA (72 nucleotides) under Candidatus Magasanikiibacteriota bacterium. RNAcentral describes it as "tRNA-Gly". It matches the Rfam family "tRNA". From Rfam's summary of the family: Transfer RNA (tRNA) molecules are approximately 80 nucleotides in length. Their secondary structure includes four short double-helical elements and three loops (D, anti-codon, and T loops). Lineage: Bacteria; Candidatus Magasanikiibacteriota. The record is from RNAcentral.